ACAUAAAAUAAGUAUUAUUUUGUCAUUAAUUACUGAUAAUUUUCUUUUGAAAUUAAAAAUAUUAUAGUGCAUAAUUAUGCAUGUGACUUAUCCAAUUUUAAAACAUAUAGAGCAUCAAAAUCUCCCAAAAAACUAUCAUUACGAUUAUAAAACAGUGUGGACUGUUCACAAUUAAUUCCAGUUUACCAAUAAUAUUUUAGAAAAAGAAUUCUUGUCUAAUUACAAAAAUCCUCAAUCUGUUAUAAGUCAGCCUGUUAUUCAUUAGAAAUGUGGGAUCUGCAGAUGAAAUGACAGGCUUUAGGCCUUGAACAUUUGUGGGUUUAUGAGUAAGGAUGGGUUAACAGUGGAUUUUUCCUGAUCUCAACUGAUUCAGACACAACUUGAAACAAAUCAAAGGUUUAUUGAAGGAUGUAAAAAGAGAGAGCUUUACAAUUAAACUUGUGAAGAUUAACAAAUGUGGAAGAAUAAAUACCUUGUUAUAGUUAAAUAGAUAUAGAUGAUCAUUGCUUAAUAUAUCAGUCCUCAAUCACAUUCAGUUCCUUAGGAUGAAAAUAAUGCAUAGCUUGUAUAGCUAGUUGCUAUUGCCUUGACAUUCUCAUGAAGACAUCACCAGUCUGAUAAAAUAAAUCAUCCUCUUGUCUUUUUCUGUUCCUCCACAUAACCACUUAUUCUUUGUCUAGCUCUCUUGACACCCAGCAAGUGAUUCCUGGGUACAUUUUAUUAUUACCAAGACUUCUGAAUGACUCCACAUAUAUCCCAUGAGAACUGAUUAAUGUUUCAUCUUCCUUCCCAAAGAAAAAGGUCAGUUAUCUUUUUCUGUUUACUAAUUGUCAUAUUUCAUUCGUUCUUCCCUAUAUUGACUUUCCUCGCAACACUGGUACAUAAUAAGAUCCUUCAUCUCUAUCAUUGUAUCACUUAUUUGUCUUUGAUAUUUAAUAUUAUAAAAGUCUUUGUGCAAAGUAGUACAUUCUUUAUAUUUAGUUUUCUCUCCAUCUUACAUG
Molecule: long non-coding RNA, 1001 nt
Filed under: Androctonus crassicauda
Lineage: Eukaryota; Metazoa; Arthropoda; Arachnida; Scorpiones; Buthidae
Source: RNAcentral